This 317-nucleotide ribosomal RNA is filed under the name Ferrisia terani. RNAcentral's name for it is "partial 28S ribosomal RNA". Lineage: Eukaryota; Metazoa; Arthropoda; Insecta; Hemiptera; Pseudococcidae. The record is from RNAcentral.
AANCCAUUCGGGGGUAANCGGMCAGAGCCCGUGAAUCCGGGCGACGGAAUUCAGAAUCGACGAUGUUCGCGCGUCGUCGGUUUGAUAUUUCCGUCGCCGUGACAAUGUACGGACGUCGCGACCCGUUCGGUGUCGGUCCGAGGAGACGUGUAAAAGUUCGCCGACGUUGCGUCCAUUCGUGGGUGCGCGUCGACGAGUGCGCGUUCUUGUUUUCUGGCCGACUCGCCGGACGGUACGCGUAACGGUGGCCGCGGCGACCUUUUUUCGAGCGUCGUCGUCGGUACCGGUCUGCGACGAAUCUUCGGGCYUCUUUCCNA